GGUUUCCGUAGGUGAACCUGCGGAAGGAUCAUUGUCGAAUCCUGCCUAGCAGACGACCGCGAACAAGUUGAAAAAUCACGGGUUGCAGGCGGGCUAGGGGAACCUUGCCCGGCGGCACUCCCACCAAACUAAACUCUCGGCGCGGAAUGCGCCAAGGAAUACUCAAUAUGGAUUGCCUGCACCGUUGCGGAUUCCGCAGUGUGUGCUAGGCGUCUGAUCGGUAAACAAUAAGACUCUCGGCAACGGAUAUCUAGGCUCUCGCAUCGAUGAAGAACGUAGCGAAAUGCGAUACUUGGUGUGAAUUGCAGAAUCCCGUGAACCAUCGAGUUUUUGAACGCAAGUUGCGCCCGAAGCCAUUAGGCUGAGGGCACGUCUGCCUGGGCGUCACGCAUCAAGUCGCCACCCCUCUCGAGUUUACGGAGCGGGUGACGGAUGUUGGCCUCCCGUGUCCCCGAGGCGCGGCCGGCCUAAAUUUGAGUCUUCGGCGCGAGACGUCACGACAAGUGGUGGUUGAAAUCAUCAACUCGUGUGCUGUCGCGACCUCGCCCUGCACCGACUCCCUCGACCCAAAAUUGAGUUACGGGCCUUCGACCGCGACCCCAGGUCAGGCGGGAU
Molecule: ribosomal RNA, 615 nt
Filed under: Psychotria labatii
Lineage: Eukaryota; Viridiplantae; Streptophyta; Magnoliopsida; Gentianales; Rubiaceae
Description: eukaryotic LSU rRNA
Rfam family: 5.8S ribosomal RNA (bases 232-387)
Source: RNAcentral